GAAAAAGUAUAGACACAGUGAUACAAUGGCCUGCAUCAACACAUUCCAGAGCUGCUCCGUCCUCAAGGGAGCAAAGAUCAAUGGUACCAAGAUCGGAGGAGGGAGGGGAUCACCAACCUUCCGGUGCCGGGCAUCGACGUUCAUGGACGGGAGCCUCCGGCUAGAGAUCGACGAGAACCCUGAAGCCAUCAUCUCCGGUGAGUGGCCGGAGAACUUCUCCCUGCUCAGCUACGACGAUCUCCGCGCCUACCUCCAGUCACAGGAGGCCGCUGCUCAAGCCGACAACCAGCGUGUGGCGCUCCUGAGUGAAGCCAUGUCGGCGCCUGUGCUGGUAGCCACUGCCGAGCAGACGCUGGAGGAGGUUGAGUGCCACUUUGAGACGGUCUCAGGUCUCCCAGUUAUAGAUGCCAGCCUCAGAUGUGUUGGAGUGAUCGUCAAGAGUGACCGGGCCAGGGCUUCUCAUGGGUCAAAGACGAAGAUUGCAGAAGUGAUGACCUCUCCAGCCAUCACUCUACCAUCUGACAAAACAGUAAUGGAUGCGGCAGCUCUGAUGCUAAAGAAGAAGAUCCACAGAUUACCAAUUGUAAAUCAGGACAGACAAGUGAUAGGUAUAGUUACCCGUGCUGACGUUCUUCGCGAGUUGGAAGCCCUGCUGGAGGUUUAGACGUGCAGUGGUCCAUAUGCUUCGGCCUUGUUGUAUAUAUGUAAAUAUAUGCCAUGGUGUUUUUGAAUAGCAGGCAUCUCUAAUCUGUAAGAGUGUUGUAGCGCGAAUCACCAAGAUAAGCCUGAGAAAAUAACCGGAGAGCUUUUCUUUGUACAAUAAGCACACUAUGAGACCUCCAGUGUUG
Molecule: unclassified non-coding RNA, 848 nt
Filed under: Hevea brasiliensis (rubber tree)
Lineage: Eukaryota; Viridiplantae; Streptophyta; Magnoliopsida; Malpighiales; Euphorbiaceae
Source: RNAcentral